Long non-coding RNA from Ctenopharyngodon idella (grass carp), 333 nucleotides. RefSeq lists it as uncharacterized. The transcript has 3 exons. Lineage: Eukaryota; Metazoa; Chordata; Actinopteri; Cypriniformes; Xenocyprididae. The record is from RefSeq and is a predicted model, not a curated record.
AAACUCUUCAUUAAUCUUCUGAUAUUUCUCCUCUGUGUGAGGUGUGAGGACAUAUGAAGACUCUGGAUCUGGGCUGUCACAACCUCUGUGCUCCUUCUUGUUCAGCACCUGUAGGGAGCAGCAAAGAAUGACGGUUUCAGUUUGGAUGUGUGAAGCAGACGUCCUCAUCUUACCUGUCUGUUUCUCUCAUCCAUUAUGCGGAACGCUUCUCAAGAAAUAUAAGAAAAGAUCAAAGAUUUGUGUCGCUCCAACUAUUUAUGGAACUCAUAAGAUCUAAAAAGUGGCUACACUGAGAAUUACCCAGAGAAUUCCUGCCGGAUGUUCCCAGUGAAG